UUCGGAAUGAAACCUGAUAUGACUUAGUGGCGGACGGGUGAGUAACACGUGAACAACCUGCCUUUCAGAGGGGGAUAACGGCUGGAAACGGUCGCUAAUACCGCAUGAUGUGUUCGGAUGGCAUCAUCUGAACAUCAAAGAUUUAUCGCUGAAAGAUGGACUCGCGUCCGAUUAGCCAGUUGGCGGGGUAACGGCCCACCAAAGCGACGAUCGGUAGCCGGACUGAGAGGUUGAACGGCCACAUUGGGACUGAGACACGGCCCAGACUCC
Molecule: ribosomal RNA, 270 nt
Filed under: uncultured Eubacteriales bacterium
Lineage: Bacteria; Bacillati; Bacillota; Clostridia; Eubacteriales
Description: uncultured Clostridiales bacterium partial 16S ribosomal RNA
Rfam family: Bacterial small subunit ribosomal RNA
Source: RNAcentral